GUGAAGCGGCAAAAGCUCAAAUUUGAAAUCUGGCUCCUUAGGGGGUCCGAGUUGUAAUUUGUAGAGGAUGCUUCGGGUGCGGCCACGGCCUAAGUUCCUUGGAACAGGACGUCACAGAGGGUGAGAAUCCCGUCUUUGGCAGUUGGCCCGCGCCCGUGUGAAGCUCCUUCGACGAGUCGAGUUGUUUGGGAAUGCAGCUCUAAGCGGGUGGUAAAUUUCAUCUAAAGCUAAAUAUUGGCCGGAGACCGAUAGCGCACAAGUAGAGUGAUCGAAAGGUUAAAAGCACCUUGAAAAGGGAGUUAAACAGCACGUGAAAUUGUUGAAAGGGAAGCGCUUGCGGCCAGACUCGGGCGCGGGGUUCAGCGGGUGCGCGUCACCCGUGUACUCCCCGCCGCCCGGGCCAGCAUCAGUUCUGACGGCCGGUCAAAGGCCCCCGGAAUGUAUCGUCUCUCGGGACGUCUUAUAGCCGGGGGUGCAAUGCGGCCCGUCGGGACUGAGGAACGCGCUUCGGCUCGGAUGCUGGCGUAAUGGCCGUAAGCGGCCCGUCUUGAAACACGGACCAAGGAGUCUAACAUCCACGCGAGUGUUCGGGUGUCAAACCCGUGCGCGCAGUGAAAGCGAACGGAGGUGGGAGCCUUAGGGCGCACCAUCGACCGAUCCUGAAGUCUUCGGAUGGAUUUGAGUAGGAGCGUGGCCGUUGGGACCCGAAAGAUGGUGAACUAUGCCUGAAUAGGGUGAAGCCAGAGGAAACUCUGGUGGAGGCUCGCAGCGGUUCUGACGUGCAAAUCGAUCGUCAAAUUUGGGCAUAGGGGGCGAAAGACUAAUCGAACCAUCUAGUAGCUGGUUCUGCG
This 851-nucleotide ribosomal RNA is filed under the name Arthroderma tuberculatum. Its description in RNAcentral is "LSU rRNA". It matches the Rfam family "Eukaryotic large subunit ribosomal RNA", at positions 93 to 961 of the family's 3401-position model. The record is from RNAcentral. Lineage: Eukaryota; Fungi; Ascomycota; Eurotiomycetes; Onygenales; Arthrodermataceae.